RNAcentral lists this long non-coding RNA (423 nucleotides) under Phoenix dactylifera (date palm). Its description in RNAcentral is "long non-coding RNA (PDAC_LNC011688)". Lineage: Eukaryota; Viridiplantae; Streptophyta; Magnoliopsida; Arecales; Arecaceae. The record is from RNAcentral.
UUGGCUUGUAAACGGGUCAUCUAUUCUGGCUGGAGGUCAAGUGCAAUUCUUUCAAGUCAUGGGUCACCCAGCACCUUAUAGUUAUGAUAUAGCCAAUUUAGAUUUGCCCAAAAUUAUUUUCCAAAAGCACAAAAGAAAUGGACCCGAUUCGGACCCGAUUUGAAGUCAAAUUUGUACUCAAUGUGCAUUUUAUCUCUAAUUUAUACUAAUCAAUGUUAAACCCAAAUAUAAUAUUAAUCCAGUGAAUUUAUCAUUAUCGGUUAACAAUAACACUAAUUUUAGUAACAUGUAGGUCGCACUUUUGUGCUCUCAUCACAACCCCCAACUAGCUUAUUGCUAGUCUCUAGCAAUUCAGUGCGAAAAUGAUAAAAUGAGAGAGCAAAAGUGUUAUUUAUUAUAUAAAUAUCCUAAGAUAAAUACUCA